AAUGAGAAACAGAAAUAGAAACAAUUAGCACGGUCAGAACAUAAUUGGCGUGCAGUUAGGUCUCUGAUUAAAGAAGCAAUCAUAAAAUUAAGACCCAUAAUCCUCUGCAAUUUGAGCACACGCAUCACAAUUGACGAAGGUGCGGCCAAGGGGUCGAAGGGGGAAUGCCACAGGGGAAAGGAACGCGAGGCUGGCGGCGACUCAAUCGGAAGAAACAAAAGCAGGAGCUGGCCAGAGAGAAGCUAAUACGAGUAAUAACCAACAGCAGCAACAACACAACACAAGCCAGAAGACUAUUAGAGUUACAAUUGUAGCUGCUGAUCGACUAGAAGUUACCCUGGUAUCAAAAUCACUUUACACGCUUUGUCUCUAUCCACUACACACACACAUACAAGCACGCCAUCUCUAGCUCUGUGUGUGUUGUGUGUGUGUGUGUGAGAGUGCAUUUCGGUGCGUGGUCCACCAAGCGAAAUGCGGAACUCAUUAUGUACGUGCGGCGAUUUGUGUGCCCCGCUAACAACAACAACAACAGCAACAACAAUGAGAACUACAACAGGCUGAGAAGAAGCAGCAGAACUCUCAGUUUGUAUCGACUGUGCAAGACCCUGUAAGAAAUUUGCUUUUGGCUAUUGGAUGAAAUUGAUGCUGUUGUAAUUGGGUAUGAAGGCAACUAAUAUGAAAUGUUCAUAAGCAAGCUGGGCAUCGGGAAUGAGGAUUGUGAAAUUUGAGCUUGCGUCUUCGACUUGGAUUUGGUUUUGGAUUUGGAUGUGGAUGUCGAUAAGGAUGUGGAGAAGGCAUUUGACUGAGGAUUGCAGUCAGUUGAAUACGCUUCCGGUUAUACAAAUUGUAUGUGAAACGUGAGAAAUUCAUUUC
Molecule: long non-coding RNA, 873 nt
Organism: Drosophila sulfurigaster albostrigata
Lineage: Eukaryota; Metazoa; Arthropoda; Insecta; Diptera; Drosophilidae
Exons: 3
Source: RefSeq, a predicted model, not a curated record